This 107-nucleotide small nuclear RNA is filed under the name Carlito syrichta (Philippine tarsier). Lineage: Eukaryota; Metazoa; Chordata; Mammalia; Primates; Tarsiidae. The record is from RNAcentral.
GUGCUCACUUUGGCAGCACAUACACUGACAUGGGAAUGACACGGAGAAGAUUAGCAGAGCCCCUGCGCAGGGAUGACAUGCAAAUUUGUGAAGGAUUCCGCCUUUUA